This 253-nucleotide ribosomal RNA is filed under the name uncultured bacterium. Its description in RNAcentral is "partial 16S ribosomal RNA". It matches the Rfam family "Bacterial small subunit ribosomal RNA", at positions 524 to 776 of the family's 1533-position model. The record is from RNAcentral. RNAcentral also lists the same sequence under 1 other name.
UACGGAGGGUGCGAGCGUUGUCCGGAAUCACUGGGCGUAAAGGGCGCGUAGGCGGCGCGAGCAGUCGAUCGUGAAAGUCCGGAGCUCAACUCCGGAUCGGCGGUCGAUACUCUCGUGCUUGAGCACUGUAGAGGCAGAUGGAAUUCCGGGUGUAGCGGUGGAAUGCGUAGAGAUCCGGAAGAACACCGGUGGCGAAGGCGGUCUGCUGGGCAGUUGCUGACGCUGAUGCGCGACAGCGUGGGGAGCAAACAGG